Molecule: long non-coding RNA, 1030 nt
Filed under: Bos indicus x Bos taurus (hybrid cattle)
Lineage: Eukaryota; Metazoa; Chordata; Mammalia; Artiodactyla; Bovidae
Description: lncRNA (ENSBIXG00005019734.1)
Source: RNAcentral
GUCCGAGCCUCGAGAAUCGCUGAGGAGCGCGCCUUCUCCCGCAGCUGCCCGGGGAGGUCUUCCCAGCUCCCGCCCUCCCGUCUGGUCUGCGUCUCCGCGCCCUGCCGGGCCGGGAGCCGGCUCCCAGGCGGACGCGCGGGACAAGCGGGGCGUCAGGGCGGCCCGGCGGUCGGGGUCCGCCCGGGGCCAUGUGCGCCGCCCGUCGGGAGCCACCCAGCGGCCGCCGUGAGCCGGUCCCUUCCUGGGGAACGUUGGCGACUCCCGCGAAGGUUCGGCCGCCGAGCCCGGGGCAGAGCUCCAGAGGCCGGGGGUGACAGCGGCAACGCUCCCGGUGCCGUGAGACCCGGGAAGAGCCUACUGUCUCCGGAGAUUCGCGCUGCAGGUCCGCGGCCUGGGGGCGGCGGCGGUCGGUGUCGGUCGGUGUCGCUGCCCGGCCGGUGGACCAGCGCGCCGCGGGGCCCCUUCUGCCCGCGGGCACCGCCGGGGCAGCUGAGCGCGAGCAGGAAAGGUCACGGCGCCGGCGUCCGCAGGGUUACACCUUCUCCAUGUUUCCCACGCGCCCGGAGGUGCGGACCACACGGACGCACGCAGACAUGUCCAGUCUUCCCAGCCUCCCCCAUGGACCCCGAUAGUCCCGAUUCACAACGUGUGUCCUCUCCCCGGAGACGGCCGGCCCUGGUGUCCAGAACAGGAGGCACCGGCAGGGACCACGGGCCGCCCGUCCUCCUCCCCGAAGUGCGCCGGAAGCGCUUCCUUGCCUCCUUGGGGGAACGGUCGUCCCGCUGCCUUCACGGUCGUCCCCCAGGCGGCCACGGUUCCCGGUCAAGUGCUCAGGACUCCGCAGACGGGUUUCCUGCAGGUCGGGCUGCACCUAUUCCAGGGGCGCCAGGAGUCCCUUCUAUUCUCCUCGGGCUCAGAAGUGGAAAGGAUGGUGUCCGUGUGGAGGCGCUGUGUUUCCCGGUUUAUCCACAGAGUAUCCAAUUGAAGACGACCAGAGAAGGAUGUUGAAAUAAAGAACUUUCUUAACACA